RNAcentral lists this ribosomal RNA (253 nucleotides) under uncultured bacterium. RNAcentral describes it as "partial 16S ribosomal RNA". It matches the Rfam family "Bacterial small subunit ribosomal RNA", at positions 524 to 776 of the family's 1533-position model. The record is from RNAcentral.
UACGUAGGGUGCGAGCGUUGCCCGGAUUUAUUGGGCGUAAAGGGCGCGUAGGCGGCCACGCACGUCCGUUGUGAAAUCGCCCGGCUCAACCGGGCGGGGUCAGCGGAUACGGUGUGGCUCGAGCAAGCUAGGGGGCAAUGGAAUUCCCGGUGUAGUGGUGGAAUGCGUAGAUAUCGGGAGGAACACCAGUGGCGAAGGCGGUUGCCUGGAGCUUUGCUAACGCUGAGGCGCGAAAGCGUGGGGAGCGAUCCGG